Molecule: long non-coding RNA, 317 nt
Filed under: Homo sapiens (human)
Lineage: Eukaryota; Metazoa; Chordata; Mammalia; Primates; Hominidae
Description: long non-coding RNA NONHSAT203916.1
Source: RNAcentral
CAGAGGACCCGGAGCAUUAUCUGAAUGAACUAAUGACCAACAGGCGGGCAGAAAUGAGUGCUGCGGAUUGAUAACAGGGACAGCCAGACCCCCUCCCAUCCCCACGAGGCAGAGGCACCAAUUCGAGAGCUUGAGACUAGCCUAAGCAACAUGGCCACCUGGCUUUCCCACACAUCAACCUCGUGCUCACACCCCACUCUGGAGACCACCAGCUUCGAGGCAAAAAGAGAGAACGACGUACAAUGGGGUAAAGCCUCCAUGUGUAGGCGAUGUUGUGAGGAAAGGGUGGCCGGUUGGAAGGGAACAUUUUUAAAUUG